RNAcentral lists this long non-coding RNA (1313 nucleotides) under Brassica napus (rape). Its description in RNAcentral is "long non-coding RNA (BNAP_LNC019793)". The record is from RNAcentral. Lineage: Eukaryota; Viridiplantae; Streptophyta; Magnoliopsida; Brassicales; Brassicaceae.
CAGAUUUCACACCAGUAUAAUUUUCAAAAAAUAAUUUAUUUGAGAACAAAAAUUAAACGAAAUAAAAAAAAAUAAAAUUUGGAAGAAUGACCAUUGUUGCAAAAAAACAAAUAUCAAAUAAACACCACCGAAUAUACCACUCUGCUUUAAUAACGAAAAUGGUUCACAAAACCAAAACAACAAACUCAAACACAUACAAAUCUUGAGAAAUCAAAGACCAAACAAAAGUACAUCAGCAUUUCAACACAUUUAUAUAAACGAAAAAACGUCAACGAUCCCGCGCAAGCGCGGGUACAACGCAUCUAGUAAUAUAAAACUAAACGGUCUCUCUAUAAUUUUUUUUUUUUUUUUUUUUUUUUCUUUAUCCAUCUUUAACUUUUUUUUUUUUUAAUUCACCCAAUGGGAAUUGGAAAGUACACGUCACUGCCGGAGAAAAACCGGAAACCCAAAGAAACGAUACUCAAACAAGAACAGAGAGACAAAGCACAACACAAGACCUAGGAGCAUAAAGCCCCACUCCGACGAACACGAUUGGUUAGCAAAUCCGAUGUCACCGUAACUUCACGGCGGCCAGUGUGUUCAGAACCAGCCGAUGAUCCAUCAACGGUUCCUCUUCAGAGCUAGAGCCAACCUCGGAGGGAUCCCGCGGCCCCGAGCGCCGGAAUCUACAGGAGAACCGACUCUUGAACUUUUCUCCGCCAAGCUCUGUCGCUGCCUCGCCGUCGCACACCUCUUCAAGCACCACGCACAAACCCUAAUUCCACCGGCCAAGAGAAGCUUCUGCAUCUAAGAGGGAAGGUUCCGGAGAACCGCCAUCUCCAGAACAAGCUCGUCGACAACAAAAGCCCCCACAGCAACGGCGUUGAAAGAAAGACCCUAGCCUGGAUGGUUAACUUGCGGAAAUCCAGAGAGCCUCCACCGUCCUCUAGCAGAGAUCUACCACCAGCUUCCGACGAAACACCAAGCCACAGCUUCAACGUAGAGGGCCACCGCGACAGUGACCUAAACACCGCGGAGGAGAGAAAGGUUGUGCCUCCUUCAGUUCGUCACUUUCCUUUUGUUAGGCGCAAGUUCCGACGAACGAAAAAGUAAAGGGGGGGGGGGGGGGGANNNNNNNNNNAAAGAAAAAGUAAAGGGGGGGGGGGGGAGCAUCCUUGGAAGACCGACGAGACGCCGGAAGGUCGGAGCUCCUCCCAGAUCUGGAUCUAGAAUUUAGAAAACAGAGAGAGAGAAGCGCGUGUCUUUACUCGCCGCUUAAAGGCCGCGGACUGUAAUACAUAUAUUUCUAUCUAUAAAUAUUUGGUUUUCACUUA